Molecule: ribosomal RNA, 468 nt
Filed under: uncultured bacterium
Lineage: Bacteria
Description: partial 16S ribosomal RNA
Rfam family: Bacterial small subunit ribosomal RNA
Source: RNAcentral
GACGAACGCUGGCGGCGUGCUUAACACAUGCAAGUCGAACGGAAAGACCCUGCUUUUGUGCGUUGCUCGAUUGGCGAACGGGUGAGUAACACGUGAGUAACCUGCCCUUGACUUUGUGAUAACUUCAGGAAACUGGGGCUAAUACCCGAUAUGAGCUCCUGCUCCAUGUUGUGGGUUGGAAAGUUUCGGCGUUUGGGGAUCGACUCGCUGCUUAUCCGCUUGUUGGUGUGGUAGUGGGUUACCAAGGCUUUGACGGGUAGCCGGCCUGAGAGGGUGACCGGCGACAUGGGGACUGAGAUAGGGACCAGACGCCUACGGGAGGCAGCAGUGGGGAAUAUUGCAGAGUGGGGCGACGCGUGAUGCAGCGACGCUGCGUGCGGGAUGCUGGCCUUCGGGUGGUAAACCGAUGUGGCCUGUGACGAAGCGUUAGUGACGGUAAUGGGUCAAAAAGCACCGGCUAACUACGUG